This is a long non-coding RNA of Ooceraea biroi (clonal raider ant), 7148 nucleotides long. RefSeq lists it as uncharacterized. The record is from RefSeq and is a predicted model, not a curated record. Lineage: Eukaryota; Metazoa; Arthropoda; Insecta; Hymenoptera; Formicidae.
UACAGCGGGGAGAGGGAUGGUGCCUUGGCGCGAGCCCGAGGACUCGAAACUACGGAAUUCCAACCGACAGAGUAGUGCCGGCGUUCGUACGAUACGGUUCUGUUGUAGUGGGGGAGUGUAAUCUGAAGUGAAUAAAAAAGAAAAGGGAAGGAGACAGAAAGUGAUGGCAAGAGAGAGAGGGGGAGUAUGGACAGAGGGGUGACGCGAAGCUAAGGUGGUUGCGUCUCAUUGUGUUCGUCUUCGUGGCUCAGUUCCGAUGUUCUCGUAGUACCGGAUACAUAACGUCAGGUGGUUACCUCUGAGACACCCACGAUCAGUUGUGAACAUAGACUUUUAAGCGCACUAGACAAUUCGAUAGCAGUGAAUAAAGUGCAAAGUGAAUCGCGCUUCCUGGCAUAUCGCGGAAUUUCUCUCACAGUCUUCUGUGAUGACUCAAUAUCUGUCGGCAGAUGUUGUCGGCAUAUCGCUCGCAUGUAAAUCAUCGAUUAUAUUUACGCUGUUAUUUCGUGGACGUCCUUCAGCACAACAUCAUUCCAAGUGUUGAGUUGACUAAUAUGUGAACCAUCGCUCGGAGAACGUUACUACGAAGCGGGAUCCGGUGCCAUAAAGUGGCAGCCAGCAAGUGGUAAUCGUUCCGCUGUUAUCGUCGUCGCCGACACGUCGACCCGAGGCCGACGAUGCCGCACGUGGUGAUCGCGACGUAUCGCGCGACACUAAGUUGGCUAUUUGCACCUGGAGUCGACCUGAGACUCAGCAAGCGAAGAUCUUAACAGCGCGCGACUCCGCAUUUCUUCUGUUUUUAAGAUGUUAUGUCUCGAGUUACUGCGCAAACACGGCAAAUGUUGCAAAACUGGCAAUUAGUGUGCCAAUCAUGAUGAAAUAAUGCCAUUUUUCGAAAUAUCCUUUAUGACGAAGGAAAUAGAGCACGGAAAUAAUCUCUCGUUCAUACCCACACGAAUACAUGUAAGCACGUACGCGUGAAAUCCUUUCGUGAAUCUCAUUUUGUUCUUACCUAUCGUACUAUUGAUGAGGAGUAAUAUCGACGUUAAUAAUAUCGAACGGUAACACGGUAAACGAUAUAUAGCACUCUUGCCAUUUUUACUACGUAAUGUCACAUCCGGAACAGACUACCUCAGAGUUCAGGAAUUUAAAACGAUGAAUGAAUGAAGAAAGGAAAAAGAUGAAAGAGCCAAUGCAAUAAUAAUAAUAAUAAUAAUAUAAUAAUAAUAUAAGUAGCGAGGAGCGUCUGUGCGGGCGAAACGACAAACUUUCACGCACUUUGCAUUCCGACACAUUCUGUGCUUCUCUUGCACAGGGGAGAACAAUAAAGUUGUCCUGCCCAAAACAAUAUUUGUUUUACUUUCUUCUUUUCACUUAUUCUUUCCUCCUUCGCACAAAUGUAUGAAUAUUUUAUCGUACAUGCUGCCGAUGUAUGUCGCUUCUUCAUCUGACCAACACGAGCGCCGUUUUACAAGAAACAAAUUAUCCUCUUUGCUUCCCUGAGUACUUCUCGGGUCGCCCGCCGGUUUAAUCAGCUUGUGUAAUAGAACAUUAUAUAUUUAGAACUUAAUGUAAAGAUGAUGUGAAAUUGCGAGAGAUUUAGCGAGCGAGCGAGCAAGAGCGAGAGAGAGAGAGAAAACGAGAAAUGUGAUUCAAUGGCGAGUUUGGUUGGGUGCAUUAGUGUGCACUGACUAUUUUGUUUAACGGAAUAUAAAUCAAACAAAUUUUCGCUUCAUCAAUAGAGCUUGUAUUAUAUAAUAAUCUUGUUUAACAAAAGAACAAAGAUCUUGACUUGCGCCAGUGCAUUCUGGUAAACUCGCCAUACGAAGGAAAGAUUUGGGAAAUGUAAUGUUUCUUAGAGACAUAUCAAAUAUAGCGCGUUACUUUAUAUUCAAUUCGAUUAUAAAUAAUUGUGAAUUGAUACGCCGGCAGGCGGAAACGCGCGCUUUGACCGCGAUAUAUCGAAGGUAUCGAAGAUAUAUCAUAUCAUUGUUUCACGCGAAACGGUCGAACGUCAUGAGAAAGGACAGAAAGGGAACAGGAUAUUGCGCUCGCGAUUUUGUUCGUAUGUCGACGAGGAUCGUUGAGACGAUGAUGAUGAAGAGCACGGGGAAAAUGUAUGGUGUGACGAGAAAAGUUGUAGUUGUGACAAUGCAACACGUUCUCAGCACGUUCCUUUCAGCGUAAAGAAUUUUUUUGGUGGCGAUUCUUGUGUACAGUCGUUCCAGAUGUUAGGACACCAUGUCGCUUGUUUUACGUAUUAUUACUAUUAUCGAUAAUUAUAAGAUAUGUUACAUUAUUAUUAUAUUAACAUACAGUUAUAAUAAUUAUAUUAUAAUUAUAUAUUAUGAUGUAAUGUUUUGUACAUUCUCCAGUUCAUUUCGCGAACGCCGAUUGCGAACGAAGUAAGAGAACAGAGAAAUUGUGAUCAAUAUCACCGGUACGUUUCACGUUAUUUGUCAUGUGAAACCAUGUGACUUUAAACCGCAAAUACACAUGUGUGUGUAUAUACACUGGAGGAUUAUUUCUUCAAGCACAUUCCUGCGUACUUAGAUGGGCAUCUUAGAUCGAUAGGCUAAUACACAUAUCUUUGAAUAAUUUUAAAUAAUUCAUCUAGCGUAAACACCGUAGUUUAGCUUUCUCGAGCAACGGUGUUCAAAUCCAUUUUACGGAUUUCUUUGAAGGAAUGAUCCUCCGAUUGAUUCUAUCAGUGUAUGUCACAUAUCUGUGUAAUAAAUCUCGGUAUUAGCAUAGAGAGACAAUGCCGCGAGAUAUUCGAAGUGGCGACAGACUCGAAAAUCCAAUUUUCCGAAAUCGAAGCUCUGGAAUGAACUUCCACAUGCUCGGAAGUGUCAUUGUGUCACAUGUCAUUACGAGUCAUUGGUUGCCUUAAUCGAUAAUACGCCAUUGUGGAACGAAUGAGGUUGCGAGGAAUAGCGCGGCACUGUCUCCUUAUACUAUGUAUAAGGAUACUGAUAAGGUGUACAUAUAGACAUCCUAAGUAAUCGAAGAAAAGAUAUCGACAAUGUUGAAAUACGCGCUUCUCCUAAAGAAAUGUGAUUUUGAUUCCACGGGCAUUUUCUCGAAGAGUAUAUUGAACGACGAUUCAUUUUCGUGAUGUGAGGAAACUAAGCGUAAAGAAAGAAAGAGAGAGAGAGAGAGAGAGAGCGGAAAAGAAAGGUUCUCUCUCAUUUCGUAAAGUUGCAAUUCCGCACACACUUGUCGUUUAUAUUUCCCUUGUGCCAUAGCCAUGCGUAUCGGUGAAUAACAAAGUUCCAUAGAGAAGAGAGAAAAAGAGAGAGAGAGAGAGAAAGAAAGAAUGUACGAUGAUUGUGAAAUGCUGUAUGAUGAUAUUCCAAUUAUGUAUUUAAUUAAUUGUUGAUAUGUUGUUUUAUGCCGAAUGCGAGACAUUAACAACAAGAUUUUUCCUCUUUACGGACGUACAAAGUUUUGAAGAACAUCACGGGAUUUGAAAAGUAGAUGUCAAAUAUUAUAAUUUCAGAAUUAGUAGAUAAAUGAUAGAUAAUAAGAAUUUACAUUUUCUAUUCGACGAGAUUCUUCGUAUUCACGUGCAAGCACUUUUUACACAAAGAUAACAGUUAACAAAUAAAUGGUUAUUUUAAAGAUUCAUUUUUUGUCUAAUCUACUUUUUAAAUUAAAAAAUAAUAAUUCUCUUCCAAAUUUUGCAUGUCCAUGCUCUCGUUUUAUAUUAACUCUAGGAUGCAUACAAGCAGGACAAGGAACAUUGAAAUAAAAUAAAAAUAACAUUCAGAAAAGCAAUGCAGAUAUACAAUUGUAACUUGCAUUUAUUUUGAAAACAAAUUUAAAGCAAGGGAAAACUUAAUUGCAACCAUGAUGAAAGCAACAGUGUGAACAUGAAUAAAUAUUGCAUGAUGUCAAGAAAAUCUCAAUAUUGCUUAUGCAUCGUAGAGUUAAAUCCUAACACUAUUGCCAUGGGAUUUUCCCGUAUUGCAACUAGUCAUCACUUUUAAUAUCUUAUAUUAUAACUUGAAAAGAACAGCUGUGCAUACUUGUUCUCAAUGUAAGAUUAAACUUUUAUUUAAUAUUUUUCUGAUAAAGGCACGUAACGCAGAUCUAUAUCCACCUGUAUGAAUUUGUACCAUAUAACAAUGUUCUGAAAGAAGCAGGAGAAAGGGAAAAGAUAAAAUAAUCAUGUAGUAGAGUUGGAUUUAAUUAUAUUAAGUUAAUAAAUCAUAUCAUAUAUAUAUAUAAGUAAUUUUUGUUUUUAUAAAUAUUUUAUUUCUUACAAUAAAAAUAGAACAUUACUUAGAACAGUUUCUUUUCAUUUUCUUUCCUUUUCGUUUCCUUCUCUCCUUACGUUUGCUUGCGUAGCUUGUAUUGAGUGUGCGCUGCGUAUAUCAUUUACUGUGCAUUACGUACACAUAUAUUGUACUAUUAACGAAACCAAGUUUAUAAUACCACAAGACAGAUACAAUCGCACUGACUCAACUGGACUGGUCUGACACUGAAAUGAGAAGAAAGGAACUUUAAAAAUUUAUCAACUAAACCUUUUCAGACAUGCCUAAAAGGAAAUUAUUUUUCCCGAUACAAAAUUAUGGGCCGUGUACGUUGGUGCGAUUAAAUCUUGUCUUACGGCACAAGACAUUCAGCGAAAUUCGAGAUGUGGUAUACGAUACACGGGAUGCCGAACGGCUCGAACGUUAUGUUCGCGUGUUCGUGAUCGAACCUCAUUAAUCCCGAUGCGCGGAAUCGAGGCUCCGAGGCCGCGUUUCACGUUCGAAAAUCCGCGAAAUUCCUCCCGUUUUAUACACUGUUUGCACGAGCGUUUUUUCUCGCGCGCCAAUUUAGUUAAUGUCAGAGUACAGGUACGCGGGGGUGUGUUGUACGUACGCGGCCCGCGAGAUUCCAUGAAAUAUCCCGAUCGCGCGGCGAAUCGUCCAUCCUCCUGAUCUAUACCAUUACACCCAUCUUCCCCUUUCCCAUACGAUCCCUUCCUUCCCCUUCGUCCCGCUCCCUUGUCCCACGUCGGUCCCUCGUCGCGCACUCGUAACCUUGGGCAUUCUGUAAUUUAGCAAAUUGUUGCGGACUCGACGAAGGAAUCACUCGAUUCGCGAGUGCUUCGCCAAUAGCGAUGGCGAUGGUAUCGCUCGGAUGCGCCGCGCAUUCACGGACCACUCCGCGAGCGAAAAAGGAUAAAUAAAUGAAUAAUCGGAGAAUCGACGGGGGAGAUAAGGAUGUCCACAGGAUUCCCUGCGGACGCAGGCGGAACGCCGAUUUUGCACGCGAUUCGCGAUCGUUCCCGGCCGAUCCUGGGCCUGGCGAGGCACGAUUCUUCGGAUGAACAGGGAUUUUUCAUCGAAAUCGGAAUCCGACGAUCAUUAUCACACACGCGUAAGGGUUGGAUCACGAUGUACGGCUCGAAAACGAUCGAAGAGCUCCGGAAACGUUGGGCGGCAGCAAUUUCGAAAGCAAUUUCGUAUAAAUGGAAUAUUUUCGCGAUGAUGAUACAAUGAAUACUCUGAUUCGUGUCGCGCUGCGUAUCGGUCCAGCUUCCGGCUUGUCUUUCGUUUCCAGCGAAAGCGGGAUCGUGAACGUUUCUCUCUCAUUUAGAGACCGCGAGAUCGUGGAACCACCGUAGCUCCGCUCUGUUGGUUUAUCGUCGGGCAAAUUGCGUACAGCGUCGAUCUCUCGCUAUUUCAAGAUUUGCAAUUAGUUGAUAGCGGUCCUUAUAGGAAGCUAAUCAACGUCGGCUCAGAGAGGCCUGGCGAAGCGAGCGCGAAUCGAGAGACUCGCGCGGCGGCAUGGCAGGGCGUACAAAAAAGAAAUUAAGAGAAGCGAAGCGAGCGGGUCGAGACGACCACGACGAAGAUCGAUAGUCUCGUCGAUUUAAUUGCGGAUUACGCGGCAGUGAUUACCGAUCGCCCUUUCCUUGUUUCGCAGCAAUAAUAAUUAAUGGCCGGUCGCUCGCUUCGGGCGCCCCUGCUAUCCGCUAUCCUCGCGAGUCCACGUCGUUGUUAGACUUAGGCAACAUUUACCUGAUGACGAAGCAAUAUAUUGACGCGAUCUAUUUGCGAUUUAUAAGACGAGAGAAAUGGAGAACGGAGAGGCGAGAGUGGUAGCGAGUGAGAGAACGCGAGAGUGAGAGUGAGACGAUGCGAGGAAACUAAAGAAUGAGUGACAGGAGAGCAAGAAGAUGUAUCGAAUACAGAAAAGUAUAAAAAUUGCGAAGAAGCGGUGUUAGGUGUAGUCAACUACUGUACUGUAUUAUGCGUCUCCUAGCUAAAUUUUUAUGUUUUCUAAUUCGUUGUGAAGGAAUGUUUUUGGUAUAAAUAUAUAUAAAUAUAUAUAAAUAUAUAUAUAUAAAAAUGGAUCUAUAUAUAUUAUAUAUAUUUAAACUCUAGACUACGAAUUCUAAGUGAGAAAUCACACAAUCAACGAGCUGCGUGGCGGCUACCGUUUACGUCUCGCCGCGGGGAUUCACGAGCGAUCGACGAUGACACGUCGUCAUCCUAAGCGUGACAAUCGAGAGCCCACGAAAAAAAUUGCGAGACAAGAGUUCGCUCGAGCACACGUUUAACGCUAAAUGCGGCUGAGAUUGAGAAAAUUCAAAACGGUUCACGCUGAUAUUGCGUCCGCUGUAUAAAUGUGACAUGAGGACAUGCUUGGCCGUAUCUAGCGAUAAUCGUGCGACGAAAUCGCGAGUAUCGCGUGUCCCGCGGGGACACGUAGGAUCAUUCUGUAAAUCCGAAACGGCGCAUCGAUGCAAGAUCGCCGGAUAUCGCAGUACUUGACUCGUGUAGCAGCGAGGGGCGAGAGAGGCCAUUCUCGACCUCGCUGCGAAUAAAAUUUUACAAUUAGCACUGUACGUAACUAAUUACGUCCUUUCGAGAGGAGCACACUGCCGCCACAGGGAAAUUCCGAUUCAAGAGAAUCAAGCAGAGGGAGGAGAGCAGACGCGAACUUCGAGCGGUUCUCGGUCAUAUGUAUGUGAAAAGGAUGUGCGCGUCGGAUUCGUACACACGGGUACACCCGUAUGCGCGACCGUGCCGAUUACGUAUUUGACGAACGCCAUACACAAGUACCUCAUGAUACAAAACACAUGUACAAAUGUUCAUACGUUUUCAGAAUAUUAGCUAAUUAAUAAAUAAUGAAUAUCUAAGAUCGGC